Molecule: ribosomal RNA, 503 nt
Filed under: uncultured bacterium
Lineage: Bacteria
Description: bacterial SSU rRNA
Rfam family: Bacterial small subunit ribosomal RNA
Source: RNAcentral
ACUCAAAUGAAUUGACGGGAGCCCGCACAAGCAGUGGAGUAUGUUGUUUAAUUCGAUGCAACGCGAAGAACCUUACCAGGUCUUGACAUCCCGCGAAGACGGCGUAAUGGCCGUUGUGCCCUUCGGGGAGCGCGGAGACAAGUGGUGCAUGGUUGUCGUCAGCUCGUGUCGUGAGAUGUUGGGUUAAGUCCCGCAACGAGCGCAACCCUUACGGAUAGUUGCUAGUUGGUUAACCCCAAAAGCACUCUAUUCGGACUGCCGUUGACAAAACGGAGGAAGGUGGGGAUGAUGUCAAAUCAUCAUGCCCUUUAUGAUCUGGGCUACAAACGUACUACAAUGGCGCGAACAGAGGGGAGCGAAGUGGCGACACGAAGCAAAUCCCAAAAACGCGUCCCAGUUCGGAUUGCAGGCUGCAACCCGCCUGCAUGAAGUCGGAAUUGCUAGUAAUCGCGGGUCAGCAUACCGCGGUGAAUACGUUCCCGGGCUUUGUACACACCGCCCGU